This 831-nucleotide long non-coding RNA is filed under the name Struthio camelus australis. RNAcentral describes it as "lncRNA (ENSSCUG00000012241.1)". Lineage: Eukaryota; Metazoa; Chordata; Aves; Struthioniformes; Struthionidae. The record is from RNAcentral.
AGUGAAAUAUUUUCAUCACACUGGAACGUUGCGUAGCCCCUCUCCCCGCCUAGCUAUAAAGUUGCCACAAGGUGCAGUUGGACCCGUUACUGAAACAGAACAGAAGUAAAAGAAAGCUGUUAAGCUUCAGACCCCACCUCGGGUAGGGGUAUGCUCCCCACCUCUACUGUGCUGGUGCGUACAGUCCCCAAGGCUGGGCAAUGGGGCUUUCCCCAGCGGGUGCAGUAACGGUGGGUGCUUGUGUGGUGUGGGUCCUUAACCUACGCUCAGCAAUAUGUGUGAUAAUAAGCUGUGAAGAUCUUUAAUGUCUUUUCAGUUGCAGGAUUUUGAUGUGCUUUGGUUGCCUUAGCCCGAGUGUUUUCACUGACGGAGAGUACUCUGUAUUGCUGCUCUUUGCAUGGGCUGUCUCUAGUUCCCACUGCCAUCUGUAUUUGGGUGCGAGGAAGAUUUGGAUGUAUUUUCCAUAUCGUUAGUCAUUCUGGAGGUUCCCUUUGGUAAAACGUUAGCCUCAAAUUGGGGAAGUGAUGACAAGUCCUGCUUUUUAGUCAGCAGAUGGAGGCUGAGAUUGCUGUAAGAUGUCUACAGUUCCGUGUCCUUAGAAGAGCUGCUUUGCCGCCCCACGGGACUGCUGGAGGUUGCUCUGUGCCUCUUUUGGCAAAGCCCCUUCUUUCAUGUCGGCCAGUUGUUACUCCUGCCACCCUUAUGCCACCCCUUCUAAUGGCUUUUCAGAAGUGCUGGAUGAAAGGGAGAGCUUCACAGGAGAAGCUGGCUAAAACCAGAGCAUUCUUACAGGAAUUAGAACUGAAAUCUCCUACGGUUGAACAAGAAUAA